This is a non-coding RNA of Paramuricea clavata, 1615 nucleotides long. The record is from the annotation of a GenBank genome assembly. NCBI's taxonomy places the organism in Eukaryota, Metazoa, Cnidaria, Anthozoa, Malacalcyonacea, Plexauridae.
GCCAUCCUCUUUGGCCUAAAUAAACAGCGACUUAUUGCAAAUUAACAGUUUGUACAAGUCCUUCGCGAAUUAUCGUAUAAGUGGCCUUUCCGUCACAUCGUUGAUAAAACAAGUUUAAUUAUAGGGUUAAUAAAUCAGCGAGCAAUUAGUCGUCUUAUUGAUAAAUAUAUUUUAUCUUAUUAAUUAAUUGUACAUCAUGUUUGUCUGGCAUAGAUAUAGCGGAAUAAAAAUCGCAUGAAAAGCCUACAUGGGUACCGUAUACGGUGUAUAACGGUAAUGACGAACUCUAAGCGUUCUGGGUACUCUAUAAAGCAGAGUAGCUGCGUCAAAAUUAUAUAUUGUUGGUCGACUCUGUUAGGCGAAAAUAUGAAGGGAAAUUUGAAUACUAAGGCACCAGGGGCCGGUUGUUCAAAGCUGGGUUAGCUUAACCCUAGGUUAACCUAAAAUUCAAAGCAAACUUCCCGAUAGCUUGUCUAUAAAUUUGGAGAUAUUUCUUCAGAAAUCUUGUCUGGAUCGAUAGAGGUUUACUUCUCUGAAGUUUUGAAAUAAACAGACGUGCAGAAAUACACAAACUAAAACACCGGGUUAAAUUUUAACCCAGGGUUAGUGCUAACCCACCUUUGAACCGGCCCCAGUUUUCCGUAGCGGCGCGAAAAAGCACCUAUCUGAUACGGAAUGUACAAGUUUCAGAAGCUGAGCGAAACAAGAUCUCUCCGUUGCAAUAAUUCCUCUGAAAAUAGCGUUCCUAAAAGGUACGGAAAGGCGAUUUUCACGUCGCUACCGAUACGGCUAUCCAAGUAAGUAUAUGGCCUGUUCAUACAAGUCCGCGGUAAUCUGUACAAAAUUAGGUCUGUACUUCAUCUUCCAGUGAUAUUUUGGAUCUGUAUAUAUAGCUUACCCAAUGAAUCUACUCUAACCCCAAACAAAUCUUAAAGUAUAUGUGCUGAUCCAAAAUAUCUUUUCAAGCCGACGAAUUGCUUAUUAAAAUAGUGCCGUGAGAGACGUGCUACUCAGUUUGUAUGUACAUAUAUAACAUGAACCGAGUGAGCACUGAUUUCAAAAUUUUGGUGAAAAUCAGUGUACAAAAAUAUGCAGAUUUGAGAUGUUUCGGUUUGUCAGACAGGGUUGUUCCUAGCGCGUAAUUAGGGGAGGGGGUGUAUAUUCAUAUAUUGGUGUUUUGCCCGACGGAUUUUUUUUGAGACCGAUUGUUUUUACGGUAUGUGAACGUGAAUAUAUGAAUAUACACCCCGCCCCAAUUAUCGCGUCUAGGAACGGCCCUGCUGUCAGGAAUGUUGGAACAACUUCAUGCAACAAUUCUGUUGAGCUCAACAACAACCUUGUAUAGCAAGUUUUCAACAAGCCGUUGACAACUUGUUAACAAGCUGGAAACAAGCAGUGCGAACACAUCCUGUUGACAAGUUGUCUCAAUAUGUCUCAAUAUUCAAUAUGUCUCUUCCAUCACCCGCGGUUUUAAACAGCAUCGUUCGAUCAAUUGACCAUUUGCGUAAUAGACUAAAUUUUUAUCUCAACAAAAAUUUCAUUACAGCUUGAAAGAGCAUCACAAAAUUAGUAAUAUUCCAAAGUUUCGUUGCAAAAUGUUGUAAAAUGCGGAAAA